UUUGUGACACAUUGUUGUGGCUGCUUCAUAUAUUUCUGUAUAGGUAGUAUGGCAAUUUUGCUCUUUAAGGGCUCUGCUGCUCCACAAGCAGAGGAAGAUCAGUUCUCAGCAAUAGGGGCAACCAAAGCAUAAAGUAGUUUCCUUAUUAUUUGAGUUUAUUCUAUUGUAAUAGUAGUGUAAUGAGAAUUAAUUGAAAAAAAUUGAAAAACAAAAAAAAUGUAGGUAUUAAAAUCAUCUUAUUGCCUUCAUUGUGG
RNAcentral lists this long non-coding RNA (254 nucleotides) under Trifolium pratense (red clover). RNAcentral's name for it is "long non-coding RNA (TPRA_LNC012641)". The record is from RNAcentral. Lineage: Eukaryota; Viridiplantae; Streptophyta; Magnoliopsida; Fabales; Fabaceae.